AUGGUUUGCCCCGCAGCCCCGAAGCCUCUUUCCAAUCCUUUCCGUCAUCCGCACGCCUCUGUUGGGCAAAUCGGAUCUCACGGAGGAGCUUCAGCCGCGGCCGUCGUUGACCGUCCGAAUCCACCGCCCGCACCAGGACGACGCCGCCAUCGACGCCCGACUUCGCCGGAGCACGCCGGAGUUCAGGAGCUCGCCACCGCCGCUCGAGGGAGCCCCGUCGCCGUUGAACACCACCACCACCUCCACCACUCACCGCCGCACCCAUCCGUCGCUUCACCUUCGCCGGAGAGCCACCGCCGCCGACGCCCGAAACCGCCGCCGUUUUCCUCUGUAAACGAUUGUCCGGAGUGCGACGCGAGCUAUUGUCAGGAGUGUGACCUUCUGAACCAGAAUCAAGGAUAUUCAGACGAAGAGUAA
Molecule: ribosomal RNA, 417 nt
Filed under: Triticum aestivum (bread wheat)
Lineage: Eukaryota; Viridiplantae; Streptophyta; Magnoliopsida; Poales; Poaceae
Description: partial small subunit ribosomal RNA
Source: RNAcentral